GCAGUCGAGCGACGGAUGAAGUGCUUGCACUUCUGACGUUAGCGGCGAACGGGUGAGUAACACGUAAGGAAUCUACCUAUAAGCGGGGGAUAACAUUCGGAAACGGGUGCUAAUACCGCAUAAUAUCUUCUUCCGCAUGGAAGAAGAUUGAAAGACGGCUCUGCUGUCACUUAUAGAUGACCUUGCGGUGCAUUAGUUAGUUGGUGGGGUAACGGCCUACCAAGACGAUGAUGCAUAGCCGACCUGAGAGGGUGAUCGGCCACAUUGGGACUGAGACACGGCCCAAACUCCUACGGGAGGCAGCAGUAGGGAAUCUUCCGCAAUGGGCGAAAGCCUGACGGAGCAAUGCCGCGUGAGUGAAGAAGGCCUUCGGGUCGUAAAACUCUGUUAUAAGAGAAGAACAAAUUGUAGAGUAACUGCUACAGUAUUGACGGUAUCUUAUCAGAAAGCCACGGCUAACUACGUGCCAG
Molecule: ribosomal RNA, 470 nt
Filed under: uncultured bacterium
Lineage: Bacteria
Description: bacterial SSU rRNA
Rfam family: Bacterial small subunit ribosomal RNA
Source: RNAcentral